CGUGAGAAUCUGCCCUCAGGAGGGGGAUAACGGCUGGAAACGGCCGCUAAUACCCCAUAUGCCGAGAGGUGAAAUGAAUUUCGCCUGAGGAUGAGCUCGCGUCUGAUUAGCUAGUUGGUGGGGUAAGAGCCUACCAAGGCUUCGAUCAGUAGCUGGUCUGAGAGGAUGAUCAGCCACACUGGGACUGAGACACGGCCCAGACUCCUACGGGAGGCAGCAGUGGGGAAUUUUCCGCAAUGGGCGAAAGCCUGACGGAGCAACGCCGCGUGAGGGAUGAAGGCCUCUGGGCUGUAAACCUCUUUUCUCAAGGAAGAAGAACUGACGGUACUUGAGGAAUAAGCCACGGCUAAUUCCGUGCCAGCAGCCGCGGUAAUACGGGAGUGGCAAGCGUUAUCCGGAACUAUUGGGCGUAAAGCGCCCGCAGGCGGCCUCGUAAGUCUGUCGUUAAAGCGUGGAGCUUAACUCCAUUUCAGCGAUGGGAACUGCGAGGCUUGAGUGUGUAGGG
RNAcentral lists this ribosomal RNA (505 nucleotides) under uncultured cyanobacterium. RNAcentral describes it as "bacterial SSU rRNA". It matches the Rfam family "Bacterial small subunit ribosomal RNA", at positions 116 to 655 of the family's 1533-position model. Lineage: Bacteria; Bacillati; Cyanobacteriota. The record is from RNAcentral.